This 1137-nucleotide ribosomal RNA is filed under the name uncultured fungus. RNAcentral's name for it is "eukaryotic LSU rRNA". The stretch from base 508 to 1137 matches the Rfam family "Eukaryotic large subunit ribosomal RNA", at positions 1 to 649 of the family's 3401-position model. The record is from RNAcentral. Lineage: Eukaryota; Fungi.
AAGUCGUAACAAGGUUUCCGUAGGUGAACCUGCGGAAGGAUCAUUACAGAGAACAUGCCCGUUGGGUAUAUCUCCCACCCUUUGUCUACAAUACUAUUGUUGCUUUGGCAGGCCGGUCUUUAGACCGCUGGCUUUGGCUGGCCUGUGCCUGCCAGAGGACCCAAACAUUCUUUUAUUGUGUUGUCAGAGUAUUAUAAAAUAGUUAAAACUUUCAACAACGGAUCUCUUGGUUCUGGCAUCGAUGAAGAACGCAGCGAAAUGCGAUAAGUAAUGUGAAUUGCAGAAUUCAGUGAAUCAUCGAAUCUUUGAACGCACAUUGCACCCUCUGGUAUUCCAGGGGGUAUGCCUGUUCGAGCGUCAUUACAACCCUCAAGCGCCGCUUGGUAUUGGAUGCUACUCAUGUAGUGCAUCUCAAAAGCAUUGGCGGCAGCAUUUAGCUUCUAGUGCAGUAUUUUCUCACUAAGGAGUGCAAGUGUCUGCCUGCCUAAACCCCGACUUUUCAAAGGUUGACCUCGGAUCAGGUAGGGACACCCGCUGAACUUAAGCAUAUCAAUAAGCGGAGGAAAAGAAACCAACAGGGAUUGCCUCAGUAACGGCGAGUGAAGCGGCAACAGCUCAAAUUUGAAAUCUGGCCUUGCGGUCCGAAUUGUAAUUUGUAGAGGAUGUUUCGAGCAAGGUCUGGUCUAAGUUCCUUGGAACAGGGCGUCAUAGAGGGUGAGAAUCCCGUAUGUGACUGGGUGCCUACGCUCAUGUGAAGCUCCCUCGACGAGUCGAGUUGUUUGGGAAUGCAGCUCAAAAUGGGUGGUAAAUUUCAUCUAAAGCUAAAUACUGGCCAGAGACCGAUAGCGCACAAGUAGAGUGAUCGAAAGAUGAAAAGCACUUUGGAAAGAGAGUUAAACAGUACGUGAAAUUGUUGAAAGGGAAGCGCUUGCAACCAGACUUGCAUGCAGUUGAUCAUCUGGUGUUCUCACCGGUGCACUCAGUUGCAUUCAGGCCAGCAUCGGUCUUGAUGGUUGGAUAAAGGCCCUAGGAAUGUAGCUUCUCUCGGGGAGUGUUAUAGCCUAGGGUGCAAUGCAGCCUAUUGGGACCGAGGACCGCGCUUCGGCUAGGAUGCUGGCGUAAUGGUUGUAAGCGACC